CGUCCAGUCGGCCCUCGGAUUUCAGCUUUUGGGAACGUCUGCUGGCGUAGUUCUGGGAUCCCUGGGACUCGCUCCGCGUCAGACCGGACUCCCGAGAGUGCACUUUCCGUGUUGGCAGAGCGUCACGACCGGUUCUGCGGCGGUGAUAAGGCCUUUGGGAAGAUAGGUCGUCGGUUCUUCGGGACCUUCGACUGUUAUAGCCCUUGGGAGAUGGCCGCUGUGGGACCGUGGAUCGACCUGUCGUAUGGCAGUGGGGCUUCUCGCGUGCGUUCGACUCGGGGGGACUGGUUCGCCGUGCUCCCGGACUGCGCUGCGUGGGCCAGCUCUGCGAUAGCCUGCGAUAUGUAAGGGUCAGUGACACACGAUCGGUAAUCCACCCGGCCCGUCUUGAAACACGGACCAAGAAGUCCAACAUGUGCGCGAGUCAUUGGGUCCUACGAAACCUAAAGGCGUAAUGAAGGUGAAGGCAGGUUCGGCCUGUCGAGGUGAGAUCCUCGUCCUCGGGCGGGGCGCAUCACCGGCCCGUCUGCAAAGGCGGAGCAAGAGCGCACACGUUGGGACCCGAAAGAUGGUGAACUAUGCCUGAGCAGGAUGAAGCCAGAGGAAACUCUGGUGGAAGUCCGUAGCGAUUCUGACGUGCAAAUCGAUCGUCGAACUUGGGUAUAGGGGCGAAAGACUAAUCGAACCAUCUAGUAGCUGGUUCCCUCCGAAGUUUCCCUCAGGAUAGCUGGCGCUCGUCAAGCAGUUUUAUCCGGUAAAGCGAAUGAUUAGAGGCCUUGGGGACGAAACGUCCUCAACCUAUUCUCAAACUUUAAAUGGGUAAGGAGUCGGACUCGCUCGAUUGGAGUCUGGACUGGAAUGCGAGUGCCAAGUGGGCCACUUUUGGUAAGCAGAACUGGCGCUGUGGGAUGAACCAAACGUCCGGUUAAGGCGCCUAACACUGACGCUAAUGAGAUACCAUAAAAGGUGUUGGUUGAUAUAGACAGCAGGACGGUGGCCAUGGAAGUCGGAACCCGCUAAGGAGUGGGUAACAACUCACCUGCCGAAUCAACCAGCCCUGAAAAUGGAUGGCGCUAGAGCGUCGGGCCUAUACCGGACCGUUGCGGCAAUAAAGAACCCCUCGGGGGAGUCACGCCGCAACGAGUAGGAGGGUCGCCGAGGUGAGCGUGGAAGCUUGGGGCGCGAGCCUGAGUGGAGCCGCCUCGGGUGCAGAUCUUGGUGGUAGUAGCAAAUAUUCAAACGAGAACUUUGAAGGCUGAAGUGGAGAAGGGUUCCAUGUGAACAGCACUUGAACAUGGGUCAGUCGGUCCUAAGACAUAGGAGAACUCCGUUCUGAAACGGGGGCCAUGAGCUUUGAGAAAUCGUGCUCGCCCUUCCUAUAGGUCGAAAGGGAAUCUGGUUAAUAUUCCAGAACCUGGCCACGGAGAUUGACCUCGCAAGGGGUCUCGUGCGGUAACGCAAACGAAGUCGGAGACGUCUGCGAGAGCCCCGGGAAGAGUUUUCUUUUCUUUGUAAGGGUCCCACUCCCUGGAAUCGACUUGCUUGGCGAUAGGGACCCGGGGAUUGCCCGUAAAGCACCGCGGCUCUUGCGGUGUCCGGUGCGCUCUCGACGACCCUUGAAAAUCCGACGGAGACGGUGUUAUUUUCGUGCCAGGCCGUACCCAUAUCCGCAUCAGUCUCCAAGUCACAGCCU
This 1693-nucleotide ribosomal RNA is filed under the name Haliotis tuberculata (green ormer). Its description in RNAcentral is "eukaryotic LSU rRNA". The stretch from base 332 to 1693 matches the Rfam family "Eukaryotic large subunit ribosomal RNA", at positions 1 to 1882 of the family's 3401-position model. The record is from RNAcentral. Lineage: Eukaryota; Metazoa; Mollusca; Gastropoda; Lepetellida; Haliotidae.